CCUACGGGAGGCAGCAGUGAGGAAUAUUGGUCAAUGGACGAGAGUCUGAACCAGCCAAGUAGCGUGAAGGAUGACUGCCCUAUGGGUUGUAAACUUCUUUUAUAUGGGAAUAAAACGUUCCACGUGUGGGAUUUUGUAUGUACCAUAUGAAUAAGGAUCGGCUAACUCCGUGCCAGCAGCCGCGGUAAUACGGAGGAUCCGAGCGUUAUCCGGAUUUAUUGGGUUUAACGGGAGCGUAGGGGGAUUGUUAAGUCCGUUGUGAAAGUUUGCGGCUCAACCGUAAAAUUGCAGUUGAAACUGGCAGUCUUGAGUACAGUAGAGGUAGGUGGAAUUCGUGGUGUAGCGGUGAAAUGCUUAGAUAUCACGAAGAACUCCGAUUGCGAAGGCAGUUCACUGGACUGCAACUGACACUGAGGCUCGAAAGUGUGGGUAUCAAACAGGAUUAGAUACCCCAGUAGUC
Molecule: ribosomal RNA, 460 nt
Filed under: uncultured bacterium
Lineage: Bacteria
Description: partial 16S ribosomal RNA
Rfam family: Bacterial small subunit ribosomal RNA
Source: RNAcentral